This 428-nucleotide ribosomal RNA is filed under the name uncultured bacterium. Its description in RNAcentral is "partial 16S ribosomal RNA". It matches the Rfam family "Bacterial small subunit ribosomal RNA", at positions 354 to 796 of the family's 1533-position model. The record is from RNAcentral.
GUAGGGAAUAUUGGACAAUGGGGGCAACCCUGAUCCAGCGACGCCGCGUGAGUGAUGAAGGCCUUCGGGUCGUAAAGCUCUGUUGCAGGGGAAGAACACAAUGACGGUACCCUGCUAGAAAGGAUCGGCUAACUUCGUGCCAGCAGCCGCGGUAAGACGAGGGAUCCUAGCGUUGUUCGGAAUUAUUGGGCGUAAAGCGGGUGCAGGUGGCUUGGUACGUCAGAUGUGAAAGCCUGGGGCUUAACCCCAGAAGUGCAUUUGAUACUGCUGAGCUUGAGUGCUGGAGAGGCUAUUAGAAUUCCUGGUGUAGUGGUGAAAUACGUAGAUAUCAGGAGGAAUACCGGAGGCGAAGGCGGAUAGCUGGCCAGACACUGACACUCAGACCCGAAAGCGUGGGGAUCAAACAGGAUUAGAUACCCUUGUAGUCC